CCUACGGGUGGCUGCAGUGGGGAAUAUUGGGCAAUGGGCGCAAGCCUGACCCAGCAACGCCGCGUGAAGGAAGAAGGCUUUCGGGUUGUAAACCUCUUUUGUUAGGGACGAAGCAAGUGACGGUACUUGACGAAUAAGCCACGGCAAACUACGUGCCAGCAGCCGCGGUAAUACGUAGGGGGCAAGCGUUAUCCGGAUUUACUGGGUGUAAAGGGCGUGUAGGCGGGACUGCAAGUCAGAUGUGAAAACCACGGGCUCAACCUGUGGCCUGCAUUUGAAACUGUAGUUCUUGAGUACUGGAGAGGCAGACGGAAUUCCUAGUGUAGCGGUGAAAUGCGUAGAUAUUAGGAGGAACACCAGUGGCGAAGGCGGUCUGCUGGACAGCAACUGACGCUGAGGCGCGAAAGCGUGGGGAGCAAACAGGAUUAGAUACCCCUGUAGUC
RNAcentral lists this ribosomal RNA (443 nucleotides) under uncultured bacterium. Its description in RNAcentral is "partial 16S ribosomal RNA". It matches the Rfam family "Bacterial small subunit ribosomal RNA", at positions 338 to 795 of the family's 1533-position model. The record is from RNAcentral.